CAUGCAAGUCGAGGGGCAGCAUGAUUUGUAGCAAUACAGAUUGAUGGCGACCGGCGCACGGGUGAGUAACGCGUAUGCAACUUACCUAUCAGAGGGGGAUAGCCCGGCGAAAGUCGGAUUAAUACCCCAUAAAACAGGGGUCCCGCAUGGGAAUAUUUGUUAAAGAUUCAUCGCUGAUAGAUAGGCAUGCGUUCCAUUAGGCAGUUGGCGGGGUAACGGCCCACCAAACCGACGAUGGAUAGGGGUUCUGAGAGGAAGGUCCCCCACAUUGGUACUGAGACACGGACCAAACUCCUACGGGAGGCAGCAGUGAGGAAUAUUGGUCAAUGGCCGAGAGGCUGAACCAGCCAAGUCGCGUGAAGGAAGAAGGAUCUAUGGUUUGUAAACUUCUUUUAUAGGGGAAUAAAGUGGAGGACGUGUCCUUUUUUGUAUGUACCCUAUGAAUAAGCAUCGGCUAACUCCGUGCCAGCAGCCGCGGUAAUACGGAGGAUGCGAGCGUUAUCCGGAUUUAUU
Molecule: ribosomal RNA, 513 nt
Filed under: uncultured bacterium
Lineage: Bacteria
Description: bacterial SSU rRNA
Rfam family: Bacterial small subunit ribosomal RNA
Source: RNAcentral